RNAcentral lists this ribosomal RNA (907 nucleotides) under uncultured bacterium. RNAcentral describes it as "bacterial SSU rRNA". It matches the Rfam family "Bacterial small subunit ribosomal RNA", at positions 10 to 916 of the family's 1533-position model. The record is from RNAcentral.
AGUUUGAUCCUGGCUCAGGAUGAACGCUGGCGGCGUGCCUAAUACAUGCAAGUCGAACGAAUCUCUUCGGAGAUGAGUGGCGAACGGGUGAGUAAUACAUAGGUAACCUGCCCCUGUGCGGGGGAUAACAGGAGGAAACUCCUGCUAAUACCGCAUAGCCAUGAGCACCGCAUGGAGCUCAUGCCAAAUAUCCUUUCGGGGAUAGCGCAGGGAUGGACCUAUGGCGCAUUAGCUUGUUGGCGGGGCAACGGCCCACCAAGGCAACGAUGCGUAGCCGGCCUGAGAGGGCGGACGGCCACAUUGGGACUGAGACACGGCCCAGACUCCUACGGGAGGCAGCAGUAGGGAAUUUUCGGCAAUGGGGGAAACCCUGACCGAGCAACGCCGCGUGAGCGAAGAAGGCCUUCGGGUCGUAAAGCUCUGUUGUAAAGGAAGAACGGCGCAUACAGGAAAUGGUAUGCGAGUGACGGUACUUUACCAGAAAGCCACGGCUAACUACGUGCCAGCAGCCGCGGUAAUACGUAGGUGGCGAGCGUUAUCCGGAAUCAUUGGGCGUAAAGAGGGAGCAGGCGGCCGCAAGGGUCUGUGGUGAAAGACCGAAGCUAAACUUCGGUAAGCCAUGGAAACCGGGCGGCUAGAGUGCGGAAGAGGAUCGUGGAAUUCCAUGUGUAGCGGUGAAAUGCGUAGAUAUAUGGAGGAACACCAGUGGCGAAGGCGACGGUCUGGGCCGCAACUGACGCUCAUUCCCGAAAGCGUGGGGAGCAAAUAGGAUUAGAUACCCUAGUAGUCCACGCCGUAAACGAUGGUCACUAAGUGUCGGGGGUCAAACCCCGGUGCUGCAGUCAACGCAAUAAGUGACCCGCCUGAGUAGUACGUUCGCAAGAAUGAAACUCAAAGGAAUUGACGG